GGAGGGGAAAAUGUGGAAGAGACCAAGACUCCAUCACAACCUAUGAAAAUAGAUGAGGACCUCAGCAGGCAGACGAUGGAUGAUAAAAAGCUAAGCUUUGACAGUCCUCAACCGGAUGAAGCGAGAGUUUGGAGCCACUGUAUUCCAUUGUAUGCACCACACAUGCCAUGCUUGUGGCACAAGCCUGGGAUCCCAGCUCCCAGAGGAGACAGGAGAUCCGAUGUCCAAGGUUUCAAGGUUAUCUUCAAAUACUUAAGAGAGUUUAGGUCAGCCUGUGACACAUAGAGCCCUGCCCUUGAAUAAAUGUCCUUAUUCCAUUGUAUAAAA
This 327-nucleotide long non-coding RNA is filed under the name Rattus norvegicus (Norway rat). RNAcentral's name for it is "long non-coding RNA NONRATT012328". The record is from RNAcentral. Lineage: Eukaryota; Metazoa; Chordata; Mammalia; Rodentia; Muridae.